Molecule: long non-coding RNA, 1058 nt
Filed under: Astyanax mexicanus (Mexican tetra)
Lineage: Eukaryota; Metazoa; Chordata; Actinopteri; Characiformes; Acestrorhamphidae
Description: lncRNA (ENSAMXG00005005072.1)
Source: RNAcentral
GACACGAGAACCUCGGGUACUUUUGUUUCCAGCCAGUUGAAGGAAAAGUUGUGAGGAUUUCAUGCGCUAACAAAGGCGCCAUCAGUCAAGACAUCUGUGGAAGCGUGUCACUGUGUUCUUUUCCGCGGCAGACGCGACGCAGACGUAUCGAAUUUCAGCUCCCCGCAGCUCAGAUACCUCACUUUACAUAAUACAUAAUACGCCACCGUGCUUCUUCUAUACAGGAUCAAGGACCUGGAGUGUUGGGGUGACAUUAGCUGUGAUGAUACGAUGGUGUUAAACAGACCAAAAUGGCUUUGCGUUCAGCUGAACUGACAGAACCUAAAGAAGCUGGAGGCCGUAAAACGCUGGAGUGACAUAUGUGUUGGCAGGAGUGGUGGAGCUGGCACUCUGUGCAGAUGGAGACGGUGCGAGGGGAAAGUGGGGGAAGGACAUUUCUGAUACAGGCAAUCUGCUGAUGUCUGCGGGGGGCAAGAGGACCGAUUUCCACCCUGGGUGUGAAAGAUGAAGGUCUGAUGGAAUCUGUCCCCUCCAACCUAUCUGUUAAUGUCCCUGCAUCUGCUGAAUGUCUGAUCCGCAGCAGAGUUUCUGCAGGUGUCGGAUCUCUGCACUUUGAUGAAGCUCUGUGACGUUCUGCAGACUGUAAAAACACCAACCUGCAAACAGUUCCAUAAAUUAAUGAAGGCUCUUGAGACAGCAGCAGUAUGUGGAGGAGCAUUGUCCUGCUGGAAUACCGUACUGGACUGUGACCAAAGGGGAUCAACUGUUGUGCAACUAAAGCCACUUUAAUUUCUCUGAUUUUGCUAUUUAUACGUAUAUGUUUUAGUAAAAUUAACAUUGUUGUUUCAUUCUAUAAACUACAGAAACAUUUCUCCCAAAUUCCAAACAAAAAUAAUGUAAUUUAGAGCAUUUAUUAGCAGAAAAUGAGAAAUGGCUGAAGUAACAAAAAAGAUGCAGAGCUUUCAGACCUCAAAUAAUGCAAAGAAAACAAGUUCAUAAUCAUAAAGUUUUAAGAGUUCGGAAAUAAAUAUUUGGUGGAAUAAUCCUGGUUUUUAAUC